This 304-nucleotide ribosomal RNA is filed under the name uncultured bacterium. RNAcentral's name for it is "partial 16S ribosomal RNA". It matches the Rfam family "Bacterial small subunit ribosomal RNA", at positions 509 to 809 of the family's 1533-position model. The record is from RNAcentral.
CAGCAGUCGCCGCGGGAAUACGUAGGGCGCGAGCGUUAAUCGGAAUUACUGGGCGUAAAGCGUGCGCAGGCGGUUCGUUAAGACAGAUGUGAAAUCCCCGGGCUUAACCUGGGAACUGCAUUUGUGACUGGCGAGCUAGAGUAUGGCAGAGGGGGGUAGAAUUCCACGUGUAGCAGUGAAAUGCGUAGAGAUGUGGAGGAAUACCGAUGGCGAAGGCAGCCCCCUGGGCCAAUACUGACGCUCAUGCACGAAAGCGUGGGGAGCAAACAGGAUUAGAUACCCCCGUAGUCCCUGUCUCUUAUAU